Molecule: non-coding RNA, 119 nt
Organism: Schistocephalus solidus
Lineage: Eukaryota; Metazoa; Platyhelminthes; Cestoda; Diphyllobothriidea; Diphyllobothriidae
Source: Rfam
GUCAGCGACCAUACCACGUAGAAAGCACCGGUUCUCGUCCGAUCACCGAAGUUAAGCUACGAUGGGCCCGGUUAGAACUUGCAUGGGUGACUUGCUGAGAAUACUGGGUUUUGCUAACA